AACCUGGUUGAUCCUGCCAGUAGUCAUAUGCUUGUCUCAAAGACUAAGCCAUGCACGUCUAAGUACAAACUAAAUGAUGGUGAAACUGCAAAUGGCUCAUUACAACGGUUAUGAUGUACCCGGGAGUUCCGAUGGAUAUUUCCAGUAACACUAGAACUAAUACAUGUCCCUGCGUUUAUUAGUUUCGCACAGUCCGUCGCUGAGUCAUGGUAAACAGUUGAUCGACUCGACGUCCCGGAACAGUUUCCGCCCCAUCAGCUUCGAUGGUUGGGUAUUGGCCUACCAUUGCAACAACGGGUAACGAGGAAUUAGGGUUUGAUUUCGGAGAGGGAGCCUGAGAAACGGCUACCACAUCUACGGAUGGCAGCAGGCGCGCAAAUUACCCAAUGCAGACACUGUGAGGUAGUGACGAGAAAUAAUAAAGCGGGACUUCUGUUUCGCUAUUAUAAUGAGGAAUAACCAAAGGUCAUUCCGAUUAGCAACUGAUGGGAAAGUCUGGUGCCAGCAGCCGCGGUAAUACCAGCGUCAGUAGCAUAUAUUAAAAUUGUUGCAGUUAAAACGUCCGUAGUCUGUACGUCGUCCCAAACUCACUGCAGUCUUCCGUUUUCUUAAUUGAAUGCGGUAGUUUCUGCAGUCACUCCCUUGAUCAAAUUAGGUUGUUCAAGGUAGACCAAGUCUUCAUAUUUUCACAUGGAAUUGGGUGAGGGAACUUAAGAGUUUAAGUUUCUCGUCUUAGGAUCAUCCGGGGUCAUUCGUACUCGUCCGCGAGAGGUGAAAUUCUUGGACCGGACGAAGACGACCAGCAGCGAAAGCAUCUGUCAGGGAUGUUUUCUGCGACAAAGGACGAAGGUCAGGGUAUCGAAGACGAUUAGAUACCGUCGUAGUCCUGACUGUAAACUAUGCCAACUUGGGUCUUGCUGGGCGAUGCUUUGUGAGACCCACACAGAAAUGAAAGUGUAUGGGUUCUGGGGGUAGUAUGGACACAAGUCUGAAACUUGAAGGAAUUGACGGAAGAGCACCAUAAGACGUGGAGCUUGCGGCUUAAUUUGACUCAACGCGGGAAAACUUACCAGGUCAAGACAUGGGCGUGAUUGACAGGCUAAUGACUUUUCUCGAUUCCAUGGAUGGUGGUGCAUGGUCGCACUUAGUUGGUGCAGUGAUUUGUCAGGUUUAUUCCGGUAACGAACGAGACCUCAACCUA
Molecule: ribosomal RNA, 1201 nt
Filed under: uncultured marine eukaryote
Lineage: Eukaryota
Description: SSU rRNA
Rfam family: Eukaryotic small subunit ribosomal RNA
Source: RNAcentral